Molecule: transfer RNA, 72 nt
Filed under: Polymastia littoralis
Lineage: Eukaryota; Metazoa; Porifera; Demospongiae; Polymastiida; Polymastiidae
Description: tRNA-Asp
Rfam family: tRNA
About the family: Transfer RNA (tRNA) molecules are approximately 80 nucleotides in length. Their secondary structure includes four short double-helical elements and three loops (D, anti-codon, and T loops).
Source: RNAcentral
GAAACUAUAAUUUAAUUGGGAGAAUGAUGGGUUGUCAACCUAUUUGUAGGGGUUCAAAUCCCCUUGGAUUCG